AGUGAACGCUGGCGGUAGGCCUAACACAUGCAGGUCGAACGGCAGCACAGUAAGAGCUUGCUCUUACGGGUGGCGAGUGGCGGACGGGUGAGGAAUACAUCGGAAUCUACUUUUUCGUGGGGGAUAACGUAGGGAAACUUACGCUAAUACCGCAUACGACCUACGGGUGAAAGCAGGGGAUCUUCGGACCUUGCGCGAUUGAAUGAGCCGAUGUCGGAUUAGCUAGUUGGCGGGGUAAAGGCCCACCAAGGCGACGAUCCGUAGCUGGUCUGAGAGGAUGAUCAGCCACACUGGAACUGAGACACGGUCCAGACUCCUACGGGAGGCAGCAGUGGGGAAUAUUGGACAAUGGGCGCAAGCCUGAUCCAGCCAUACCGCGUGGGUGAAGAAGGCCUUCGGGUUGUAAAGCCCUUUUAUUGGGAAAGAAAAGCAGCAGAUUAAUACCCCGCUGUUCUGACGGUACCCAAAGAGUAAGCACCGGCUAACUUCGUG
This 492-nucleotide ribosomal RNA is filed under the name uncultured bacterium. Its description in RNAcentral is "partial 16S ribosomal RNA". It matches the Rfam family "Bacterial small subunit ribosomal RNA", at positions 29 to 507 of the family's 1533-position model. The record is from RNAcentral.